RNAcentral lists this unclassified non-coding RNA (391 nucleotides) under soil metagenome. Its description in RNAcentral is "partial contains 5.8S ribosomal RNA, internal transcribed spacer 2, and large subunit ribosomal RNA". The stretch from base 1 to 122 matches the Rfam family "5.8S ribosomal RNA", at positions 35 to 154 of the family's 154-position model. The record is from RNAcentral.
GAUGAAGAACGUAGCGAAAUGCGAUACUUGGUGUGAAUUGCAGAAUCCCGUGAACCAUCGAGUCUUUGAACGCAAGUUGCGCCCGAAGCCAUUAGGCCGAGGGCACGCCUGCCUGGGCGUCACACGUCGUUGCCCCCCCAUCUACUCCUUCGGGAUUGCGGGGGGCGGAUGAUGGCCUCCUGUGCGCCUCGUCGCGCGGUUGGCAUAAAUGCCAAGUCCUCGGCGACGCACGCCACGACAAUCGGUGGUUGCGAAACCUCGGUUGCCCGUCGUGUGCGGUCGUCGCGCAUCGAGGGCUCGAAAAAAUUGCCGGGCUCCGGCUCGGCUUUCAACGCGACCCCAGGUCAGGCGGGGUUACCCGCUGAAUUUAAGCAUAUCAAUAAGCGGAGGA